UCUUCCCUCUUUCUUCGUGCCUAAUACAUGCAAGUCGAGCGAACAGACGAGGAGCUUGCUCCUCUGACGUUAGCGGCGGACGGGUGAGUAACACGUGGGGAACCUACCUAUAAGACUGGGAUAACUUCGGGAAACCGGAGCUAAUACCGGAUAAUAUAUUUAACCGCAUGGUUCAAUAGUGAAAGACGGUUUUGCUGUAACUUAUAGAUGGAUCCGCGCCGCAUUAGCUAGUUGGUAAGGUAACGGCUUACCAAGGCAACGAUGCGUAGCCGACCUGAGAGGGUGAUCGGCCACACUGGAACUGAGACACGGUCCAGACUCCUACGGGAGGCAGCAGUAGGGAAUCUUCCGCAAUGGGCGAAAGCCUGACGGAGCAACGCCGCGUGAGUGAUGAAGGUCUUCGGAUCGUAAAACUCUGUUAUUAGGGAAGAACAAAUGUGUAAGUAACUAUGCACGUCUUGACGGUACCUAAUCAGAAAGCCACGGCUAACUACGUG
Molecule: ribosomal RNA, 497 nt
Filed under: uncultured bacterium
Lineage: Bacteria
Description: partial 16S ribosomal RNA
Rfam family: Bacterial small subunit ribosomal RNA
Source: RNAcentral